AACGCUGGCGGCAGGCUUAACACAUGCAAGUCGAGCGCAUCCUUCGGGGUGAGCGGCAGACGGGUGAGUAACGCGUGGGAAUCUACCUUUUGCUACGGAAUAGCUCCGGGAAACUGGAAUUAAUACCGUAUGUGCCCUUAGGGGGAAAGAUUUAUCGGCAAGAGAUGAGCCCGCGUUGGAUUAGCUAGUUGGUGGGGUAAAGGCCUACCAAGGCGACGAUCCAUAGCUGGUCUGAGAGGAUGAUCAGCCACAUUGGGACUGAGACACGGCCCAAACUCCUACGGGAGGCAGCAGUGGGGAAUAUUGGACAAUGGGCGCAAGCCUGAUCCAGCCAUGCCGCGUGAGUGAUGAAGGCCUUAGGGUUGUAAAGCUCUUUCACCGGAGAAGAUAAUGACGGUAUCCGGAGAAGAAGCCCCGGCUAACUUCGUG
Molecule: ribosomal RNA, 429 nt
Filed under: uncultured bacterium
Lineage: Bacteria
Description: partial 16S ribosomal RNA
Rfam family: Bacterial small subunit ribosomal RNA
Source: RNAcentral